CUACGGGUUGCUGCAGUGGGGAAUAUUGGACAAUGGGGGAAACCCUGAUCCAGCAAUGCCGCGUGUGUGAAGAAGGCCUGCGGGUUGUAAAGCACUUUCGGUUGGGAGGACUGCUUCUAGCACUAAUAUUGUUGGAAGUUGACGUUACCUUCAGAAGAAGCACCGGCUAACUCCGUGCCAGCAGCCGCGGUAAUACGGAGGGUGCAAGCGUGAAUCGGAAUUACUGGGCGUAAAGCGCGCGUAGGCGGCUAGAUCAGUCGGGUGUGAAAGCCCCGGGCUUAACCUGGGAACUGCAUCCGAUACUGUCUAGCUUGAGUACAGGAGAGGAGAGUGGAAUUCCACAUGUAGCGGGGAAAUGCGUAGAUAUGUGGAGGAACACCAAUGGCGAAGGCAGCUCUCUGGCCUGAUACUGACGCUGAGGUGCGAAAGCGUGGGGAGCAAACAGGAUUAGAUACCCUCGUAGUC
This 465-nucleotide ribosomal RNA is filed under the name uncultured bacterium. RNAcentral's name for it is "partial 16S ribosomal RNA". It matches the Rfam family "Bacterial small subunit ribosomal RNA", at positions 339 to 795 of the family's 1533-position model. The record is from RNAcentral.